UCAUGUUAAUAGUUUAAACCUCUUUGGAGUCUCGCAAACUUUACAUUUUAGUACUAAUAUUUGUUCAAAUUUCAAUUGCUGUAGUGUUUAUUAGAAAAUAGUAUUAUUACAAUGUAAAAGUUUUGUGUGUGAAGUGAUUUUUGUGAUAACAUUUCAAGGAGUUUUUAUUAUCGGAGUAUGGAUGCUGACUUCUAGCUAAUCAAGAAUGGUUGUAAGGCUCUGUGUUUGCCGACAGACAGAAGCUCAAACAACAUGAUAAUGGCGCAGGUUCUUUCGGAAGCCGAUCGGCCAUUAUGCAAUACUGCGUACAGAGAAGGACAACUAUGUCAUGUGCGAGUGCGCUCGAGUACUAUUUCGCACUCUAUUCCACGCAUAGGAUUAAUGCGCAGGACAAGGACAAAGAUAUGUCGCAGGCGCAGGCCACGCCCAUCACCGCCCAUCACCUAUCACCUAGUUGCUCUCCCCACCACUCGAAUCGGCCUGCCAUUGCGAGAGGAUAUCAUUUCGUUUUCGAAUGCGGCGGUGUACGGUGUACGGUGUACGGCUAGAAGGGUCUCGGCGAAAUGGACGUAGCCGACCGGCUUGUUGCGUAAGUUCAACAUGGUUGCGAAUUGAAUUCAGUUUAAUAGUGCGAUAAUUUUAUACCUAUUAAUUUCAAGUGUUUGUCAUUGUGCCCUUAUCAAAUCUAAUUUACAUGAGAAAUUGGAACUGAUGCAGCACCGUUUACAGGAGAAAAGGUAUGCCCGAUACAAGCUAUACUAUUAAAUGAGCACAUUUUGUUUGUCAUCAUGCUGCCCAAGAGAUACAGUAGUUGCUGUUAAAGUACUUCAUCAAACCCGAUAUUGGUUUCAAUGGCACUUUUGUAGAUGGUGUGUGGUGAGUGUGAAGGUUUCGAAAUAGACAAUGGAAUUUAGUAAAGAUGGAAAGUGUUUGAACAUCAUCGUGCUCUGCCAAGGGCCUAAUCAGGGAAGACAAAUGAAUUCGAAAGUGACAUUAUCUACGGCAGAGCUUUAGAAGCAACAUUAUCUCUGCAUGGCAGCAAUAGUGACCAUAAGUCGUUUGCGAUCACUAUGCAAAGGCCAAGUGUAUCAGACUUAAUCGGGG
Molecule: long non-coding RNA, 1104 nt
Organism: Ctenocephalides felis (cat flea)
Lineage: Eukaryota; Metazoa; Arthropoda; Insecta; Siphonaptera; Pulicidae
Exons: 6
Source: RefSeq, a predicted model, not a curated record